This 495-nucleotide ribosomal RNA is filed under the name uncultured bacterium. RNAcentral describes it as "partial 16S ribosomal RNA". It matches the Rfam family "Bacterial small subunit ribosomal RNA", at positions 28 to 507 of the family's 1533-position model. The record is from RNAcentral.
GAUGAACGCUGGCGGCGUGCCUAAUACAUGCAAGUCGAACGCUGAAGGAGGAGCUUGCUCUUCUGGAUGAGUUGCGAACGGGUGAGUAACGCGUAGGUAACCUGCCUGGUAGCGGGGGAUAACUAUUGGAAACGAUAGCUAAUACCGCAUGACAACAGUUAUUGCAUGAUAACUGUUUAAAAGGGGCAACUGCUCCACUACCAGAUGGACCUGCGUUGUAUUAGCUAGUUGGUGAGGUAACGGCUCACCAAGGCGACGAUACAUAGCCGACCUGAGAGGGUGAUCGGCCACCCUGGGACUGAGACACGGCCCAGACUUCUACGGGAGGCAGCAGUAGGGAAUCUUCGGCAAGGGACGGAAGUCUGACCGAGCAACGCCGCGUGAGUGCAGAAGGUUUUCGGAUCGUAAAGCUCUGUUGUAAGAGAAGAACGAGUGUGGGAGUGGAAAGUUCACACUGUGACGGUAUCUUACCAGAAAGGGACGGCUAACUACGUG